This is a small nucleolar RNA of Rhineura floridana, 125 nucleotides long. RefSeq annotates it as small nucleolar RNA SNORA40. The record is from RefSeq and is a predicted model, not a curated record. The transcript has a single exon. Lineage: Eukaryota; Metazoa; Chordata; Lepidosauria; Squamata; Rhineuridae.
AGCACAGCUUCAGGUUUUGGCUAUUCUCAUAGACAGAAAACCAUGGAGCAAGUGCUAAGAAUAAAUUCUUCUUUGCAACCCACGGCUGAUCUGUAUUGGCUGUGUUACUAAUAGGAAGGAACAUA